RNAcentral lists this ribosomal RNA (500 nucleotides) under Karlodinium veneficum. RNAcentral's name for it is "partial Bacterial large subunit ribosomal RNA". It matches the Rfam family "Bacterial large subunit ribosomal RNA", at positions 313 to 829 of the family's 2925-position model. Lineage: Eukaryota; Dinophyceae; Gymnodiniales; Kareniaceae. The record is from RNAcentral.
AUAGCUUGUGUGUUAGUGGAACGGUCUGGAAAGUCCGGCGAUACAGGGUGAUAGCCCCGUACACGAAGCAACAUAAAGCACAUAUUAAGUAGGACGGGACACGUGUUAUCUUGUCUGAAGAUGGGGGGACCAUCCUCCAAGGCUAAAUACUCGUUGUCGACCGAUAGUGAACCAGUACCGUGAGGGAAAGGCGAAAAGAACCCCGGCGAGGGGAGUGAAAUAGAACCUGAAACCGGAUGCGUACAAGCAGUAGGAGCCCUUCGGGGUGACUGCGUACCUUUUGUAUAAUGGGUCAGCGACUUAAUGUCAGUAGCGAGCUUAACCGUAUAGGGGAGGCGUAGGGAAACCGAGUCUUAAUAGGGCGAAUUAGUUGCUGGCAUUAGACCCGAAACCCGGUGAUCUAUCCAUGGCCAGGUUGAAGAUGCCGUAACAGGCAUUGGAGGACCGAACCCACAAAUGUUGAAAAAUUUGGGGAUGAGCUGUGGAUAGGGGUGAAAGGC